This 28929-nucleotide long non-coding RNA is filed under the name Homo sapiens (human). RNAcentral describes it as "non-protein coding LINC02476:20". The record is from RNAcentral. Lineage: Eukaryota; Metazoa; Chordata; Mammalia; Primates; Hominidae.
CUCAUUUUCUCUUGCUGCUACCAUGGAAGAAGCGACUUUCGCCUCCCGCCGUGAUUCUGAGGCCUUUCCAGCCAUGUCAAACUCAAAAUGUGACUGAAAAACAGAAGCAUUUGGAAUACGUAACAGAAGUCAUUAAAAAGAGCCAUGUAAUAUGUGCCUGCUUCCCCUUCUGCCAUGAUUGUAAGUUUCCUGAUGCCUUCUCAGCCAUGCAGAACUACAGAGUUUUGCUCUUGUUGCCCAGGCUGGAGUGCAAUGGCACGAUCUCAGCUCACUGCAACCACCGCCUCCCGAGUUCAAGAGAUUCUCCUGCCUCAGCCUCCCGAGCAGCUGUGAUUACAGGCACCUGCCACCAUGCCAGGCUAACUUUUUUGUAUUUUUAGUAAAGACAAGGUUUUGCCACGUUGGCCAGGCUGGUCUCAAACUCCUGACCUCAGCUAAUCCACCUGUAUAGGCCUCCCAAAGUUCUGGGAUUACAGGCGUGAGCCACCAUGCCUGGCCAACUAUUUGUUUUCUUGAUCUUGUCCUGUGUGUGUGUGUGUGUGUGUGCACGUGCACACGCGUGUGCUAUGAAGCAUAGAAUUCAUAGAUUUAGAAAUCUGUAUUCUAGGAUCUAUUUUUUCACACUUCAAAUAUCCCACUAUGAGUUAUAUCAUGAUUAUUUGUUCACAUAUUUGCCUUCUCCUGAAACUAAACUUUUGGAAGAUGUGAAUCACAUGUUAUCUACGUUUUGUCUCCCAGAAACCUAUAUGUCUAGUUGGUAGUUGACCGUUGCCGGGUGAAAGCUCUAAAGCCUGACUGAACUCCUGAAUGAACAAAUAAAUGGAUAGGAUGAUAACCUAAGUAGUCUAAUAUCAGCACUUAGGUUGUUCUCUAAGUGAAGGAACUUAGAGAACUGCUACAAAGUCAUUGUAAUUGUAUACACGUGCUACACUUUGGAGAUUACUGCUAAAUAAAGAUCAAGUUAGUGUUUGUAUUUCCCCAGAGAAAAUAGAGAAUUGAAUCUCAAAGACAAGUUGUUGCUUUGGAGGUAGAAGAGGGUUUUAAUCAGCAAUGAGAAGAAAAAGAGUAAGAAAUGUAAUCUUCUACCCAAUCUCUAAGUUAAAUCAUUUUACCCUUUUAGACAUAUUCCUCAUAGUUUUCACAGAGGGAAAAGGGAAAAAGUAAUUCCCAUCAUUGCUUCCUGUUCCCCUGGCAGUCUCUAUAUUAAAGAUGCUGGACUGCAGAUCCUCACUGCUGAGGGAAAAUAUUAACCUCAUUCUCUCCAAACACAGUAUGAAGCCUAGAAAAUGUCCUUCCUCAUUUUGGAACUUAAGGUUGUGUACAGAACAGUCUUACAAUGACAGUGUUUAGAACUGUAAGAAAUCAUCAAAAUGAGGUAAGUCUUUGUGAGGUAGCUGUGGAGCUGAUUUUUGAAAGUAUUGCUGCCUAUGAUUUUGGAGGUGCAUCAUAUUGUCAGGAAAGGUCUAAUGUGCUUUUUAAGUUAUGAAAUUUUGGUGUCACAUUUGUCUUGUGGGCUGCAGAAAUAAAAAAUAGGUUGAUAAUUAUCUCUAAACUUUUUCUAUUUUUUUUCACAUUUAGGUGUAUGAAAGCAUUCUAAGUAGUAUUGACAUUUUAAAACUCAAACUAUCAUAAAAUUAGGUAAUCUAUUUUAAAUACUAACAAUGACAACUUUAUGUAUUUCAUUAUUUAAAUUAUAAUUCCAAAAUAUUAUUUCAAAUGCAAAACAUAAUAUUUUUAAAUAGCUAUAAAAUACUUUAUAAAUACAAUCAAUUGACAUAAAUUUAUAUUGUAAUCCUUAAAAUCAACUGAUAGUUGCUAUUUAGAAUAUUGAAUUCUACUUCUUAUUAGUGUUAUUAUAAAGAAAUAAUAUUAAUCAACAAAACCCAUCCUUCAACCUCCAUCUUAAUUUUGCUUUAGUGCAAGUGUCUCAUUCUCAGAAUGCAAUCCUGCAGGCUGCAAUGACAUGAUUCCUCUUCUCAAAGUCCCUAAAUUUUGCUUCUCAGUGUGUAUUGCUCUCAGUUAUUUUUAAAAUUUUUUUUGUUUCUUCAUUAUUGGCCUUUGGAAAACUGAAAGUGUUGAUAUUCACUAUUUCACUGUCACCUAGAUCUGAGAAACUUUUCUGCAUCCAAAAACUCCUCUCACUUAUUUUUCUUUUGCUGAUAUAUUGCACAAGUCAUAGUAGAGAGAGAGAAGGCAGAGUCAACCUGGGGAGCAUUUGACAGGUGGCAUUGAAAAUCUACUGCUUGACAAUAUUGAUUCUUCCUAUCCAUGAACAUGGAACGUUUUUCCAUUUGUUUAUGUCAUCUGUGAUUUCUUUAAACAAUGUUUUGUAGUUCUCAUUGUGGAGAUCUUUCAUCUUCCCGGUUAGAUGUAUUGCUAGGUAGCUUAUUCUUUUGUGGCUAUUGUGAAUGGAAUUGAAUUCUUGAUUUGGCUAUCAGCUUGGAUGUUGUUGGUGUACAAGAAUGCUACUAAUUUUUGUACAUUGAUUUUGUAUCCUGAAACUUUGCUGAAAUGGUUUAUCAGAUCAGGGAGCUUUGGGGCAGAGACUAUGGGGAUUUGCAGGUAUAGAAGCAUAUCAUCUACCAACAGAGAUAGUUUGACUUCCUCUCUUUCUAUUUGGAUGCUUUUUAUUUUAUUUCUUUCUCUUGCUUGAUUGCUCUGCCCAGUGCUUCCAAUUGUAUGUUGCAUAGGAAUGGUUAGAGAAGGCAACUUCUUCUUGUGCCGGUUUUCAAGGGGAAUGCUUCCAGCUUUCGCCUGUUCAGUAUGAUGUUGGCUGUGGGUUUGUCAUUAAUGGCUCUUACUAUUUAGAAGUAAGUUCUAUCAGUGCCUAGUUUGUUGAGGGUAUUGAACAUGAAGGGAGGUUGAAUUUUUUCAAAAGCCUUUUCUAUGUCUAUUGAGAUAAUCAUGUGGUUUUUGUUUUUAGUCCUGUUUAUAUGAUGAAUCACAUUAUUGAUUUGCGUAUGUUGAACCAAUGAGGCAUACCAGGGAUAACACCUACUUGAUCAUGGUGAAUUAGCGUUUUAAUGUGCUGCUAGAUUUGGUUUUUCAGUAUUUUAUUGAUCAUAAACACUUAUGUUGAUCAAGAAUAUUGGCCUGACGUUUUCUUUUGUUGUUGCUGUGUCUCUGCCUCUUUUUGGUAUCACCAUGAUGCUGGCCUUAUAGAAUGAGUUAGGGAGGGGUCCAUUCUUUUCAAUCUUUUGGAAUAAUUUCAGUAGGAAUGGCACCAGUUCUUCUUUUAUACUUCUAAUAGAAUUUGGCUGAAUCUAUCUGUUCCUGGGCUUUUUUUGUUGGUAGGCUUUUUUUUAUUAUUAUUACAGAUUCGGUUUUGGAACUUAUUAUUGGGCUGUUCAGAUUUCCAACUGCUUCCCGGUUCAGCCUUGGGAGCGUGUAUGUGUCCAGGAAUUUAUCCAUUUCUUCUGGUUUUCUAGUUUGUGUUCAUAGAGGUAUUUAUUGUAGUCUCUCUAACGGUUUUUUUUGUUUUGUUUUUGUUUGUUUGUUUUACUUCCCUGUGGGGUCAAUUGUAAUGUCCCCUUUGUCAUUUCAAAUUGUAUUUAUUUGGAUCUUCUCUCUUCUUUUAUUAUUCCAAUUAGUGAUCUGCCUUAUUAGUUUUUUCAGAAAAGAAACUUCUGGAUUCAUAUAUCUUUUGUAUGUUUUUUCACGUCUUAUUUUCCUUCAGUUCAGCUCUGAUUUUGAUUACUUCUUUUUUUCUGUUAGGUUUGAGGUUCGUUUGCUCUUGUUUCUCUAGUUCCUCUAGUUAUGAUGUUAGGUUGUAAUUUAAUCUCUUCCUAACUCUUUGAUGUGGACAUUUAGUUCUAGAAACUUCUUCAUCGAGUUAGCAAAAGCUAUUUUAAAAAUUAAUAUAGAACCACAAAGGAACCCAAAUAGCUCAGGUAAUCCUAAGCAAAAAGAAUAAAGCUGGAGACAUCAAGUUACCCAACUUCUAACUACACUACAAGGAUACAGUAACCAAGACAGCAUGCUACUGAGACAAAAACAGACACAUAUACCACAGGAAGAGAAUAGAGAGCCCAGAAAUAAGGCCACACAGCUGUAACCAUCUGAUCUUCAACAAAGUUGACAGAAGCAAGUGAAGGGGAAAGGACUCCCUAAUCAAUAAAUGGUGCUAGAAUAAGUUUCAAAAAAUUUCUUGAUUUCUGACUUUAUUUUAUUAUUUAACCAAAAGUCAUUCAGGAGCAGGUUGUUUAAUUCCAUCCAAUUGUAUAACUUUGAGUGAUUUUUUUGGUAUUGAUAUGUUUAUCUAUUUCUCUGUGAUCUGAGACUGUAGUUGGUAUGAUUUCAGGUUUUUUGUUAAUUUGCUGAGGAUUUUUUAUGUGCAGAAGAUUGAAACUUGAUUGCUUACAUUUACUGUAUAUAAAAAUCAACUGAAGAGGUACUAAAGAUUUAAAUGUAAAACCUGAAACUAUAAAAAUCCUAGAAGAAUAUCUAGAAAACCUAGGAAAUACCAUUCUGGACAUAGGUCCUGACAAAGGCUUUAUGACAAAGACUCCGAAUGCAAUUGCAACAAAACAAAAAAUUAGCAAAUGAGACCUAAUUAUCUAAAGAGCUUCUGCAUAGCAAAAGAAUCAUUCAAUCAAUAGAGUAUACAAGUAAUCUACUGAAUCAGAAAAAUAUUUGCACAUUAUGUAUCCAACAAAGGUUUAAUAUUCAGAAUCCCUAAGGAACUUAAAUAGAUAUGUAAGCAAAAAACAAACAACCCUAUUAAAAACUGAGCAAAGGACAUGAAUAGGUGCUUUUCAAAAGAAAACAUAUACGCAACAAACAAGCAUAUGAAAAAAAGCUCAAAGUCACUAACUAUUAGAGAAACGCAAAUCAAAACUACAAUGGGAUACCAUCUCACGCCAGUCACAAUGGCUGUUACUAGAAAUUCCAAUCAUGACAGAUGCUGGUAAGAUUGUGGAGCAAAGGGAAUGCUUAUACACUGUUGGUGGAAGUUCAAAUUAGUUUAAAAUUUACAUUUUAAAAUUUUAAAUGUAAAUCACUGUGGCAAUUCUUUAAACAACUUAAAAUAGAAUUACCAUUUGACCUAGAAAUUUCAUUAUUGGAUAUAUACUCAAUGGAAUAUAAAUUAUUCUAACAUAAAGACACAUGUGUGCAUGUGUUCAUUGAGGUACUCUUCACAGUAGCAAAGGCAUGGAAUCAACCUAAAUGUAGACUAGAUAAAGAAAAUGUGGUAUGUAAACAGCAUGGAAUACUACACAGCCAUAGAGAUCAUGUCUUUUGCACCAAGGUGGAUGCAGCUGGAGGCCAUUAUUCUAAGCAAAUUAACGCAGUGACAGAAAACCAAGUACAGCAUAUUCUCACUUAAAAGUAGGAGCUAAAUAAUGAUAACACACGAGCAUAAAGAGGGGAACAACAGAUAAUGGGGUCUCCUUGAGGAAGGAGGAUGGUAACAGGUGGAUGAGGAUAAAAAAAAAUUACCAAUUCAUCACUAUGCUUAUUAUCUGGGUAACAAAAUAAUCUGCAUACCAAACCCCAAUGAGAAGCCAUUUACCUAUAUAACAAAUCGGCACACAUAUCCCUGAACCUAAUUUUUUUUUAAAGCUACAAUUUGUAUUGUCAACUCACACAAAAACACACUCUAAAUAAAAUACUUGGCAAAUUUCUGAGUCAUGUGGCUUCUAAAUAAAGUAUGAUGUAAUAAACUUAAAAUAUAUUUAUUUUUCCUAUUUUUAUAUAUCAAGAAAGCACGUCACAAACAAUAAUUAAGUGACUAAAGAGGACAUUAAAAUAUGUGAAAAUGAAUCAAAUUCCUUUAUCAUACAGGAUCUAAAAGUCUACUAAGAUGUUACUUUUCUCCAAGCCAAACUUUAUAUACUAUUUAUGGAUUAUUUUUCUAGCAAACUUUAAUAAAUCAUAAUAGACACAAUAUUUGCUCUCAUUUUAUAAAGGAAUAAGUAUCAGAUGUUCCAGGAUUGAUUUUUUUUGUCAUUUUGUUAUACAAUAUUGAAUAAUACAUUCAAGCUCUGCUGUAGGAGAAAUACAUUUAUGGGAGCAAAGGUUUAUUAGGAAAUGUGAAUGUAAUUUACAGUGGCUUUAUCUAGAAGCUUACUUGUAGAGGGAUAUUGAUAAACUUUAAAAAAUUAUGACAUUGAAUUAUUUCUCUGCAUUUUUUUAACAUUAAUGACCAUUUAUGUAGGUGUUUUUAGAGUAUAUUUAUAUUUGUUUCAGAAAAAUUAUUAUAUUAUGUAUUAGGAAAUCACCUUCUCCUAAGUAUAAUAGAGAACACAAACCUGACAUGAAUAGAACUAAGGGUUCUAGGUUAGCCAGAAACAAAGGCAGUGAUUUGCCAACCCUGGGAACAAGGGGAAGUCAUUGUGAGCUACGGGGAAAAUAAUAAUAAAAAUAAUAAGGUGGUUAGUUGUCAGCCACAAUAUUCACCCAGUGCAAGUCAUAAUUUGUAUCCAAAUAUAUUAUUUUGAUGUCAUAAUAGUCAAUGAAGGAAUUUGUCUGCUUUAAUAUUUUGAAAUAUAAACUCUGUAUCCCUUUUCAUUGGUGUAAGCCUUCCAGCUAUAAUGGAAUCAUUAACCAAUGAGGUGCAAUUUCAACAGUUUUGAUUGUCUCUAAAAUGAUUAUUCAGUCAGCCAGGUGGAUAUUUUGCAAUAAUUGCACUGGGAUGUCUCCCACCUGAUGGGUUGUUUUCUCUCUGACUGAUUCUGUUAGAAAAUGUUAUUUUCUAGCUAACUCUUCUGCCCUAAAAUAUCUUGUGUUGGCUCAGGUUACCAAACACUGAUUUGUUUAGAUACUGCUCUGUUGAAUAUAAUUGUGCUGAAAUGACCUGCUUCAGUUUUAGAAGGUGAGUGUGUUUAUGGUCAUAAAAAUGUAAUCUUAGAGACCAGCAAAUAACUCCAAGUAACUUCAGCCAGAUCUAUUGCUGGUGCCAAAUUAUCAGUAGUUAGCUUACCUUACUUAUUUCAAAGACAGGUCUUUUUGGCACAAGAGAAAUUGUACUACUCAUCCUAAAAGUCUAUUUGGUACUUUUAUUUAAAGAUUUGUUAUGUAAUGGUAUUUAUCAAGUAAUUUUAAAGUUUUCGCCACUCAUUCAGCUUUCCAGACUAUUUUUGGAAGAUAUCUCAUUAACAACAGUCAUGUAAGAUUAAUGGGGAGGCAAAUUUUGAAAUUAUUUCUGAUAUUCUUCUGAUAUGGAUCUUCCAUAAAAUAUAAUAACUGAAUGUCUAUUUUAUCAAGCAAUAAUUACUGUUUUAACAUUUAAUAAAGAUAAUCUGUAUAAGUGAAAUAUAUAUCCGCCAAAACACAAAAAUUUUUAAUUGAUUCUCAAAUUAUUAAUGCAUUAUUUUACAAGAACUUUGUAUAAUUUACUCAUGGCAAACGUCCCUUUUAAGGAAAACAGUCUAUGCAUUAGUUUCAGGAGAAAGAAUGUUUUCUUCAAGAGAUUAUUGUGUUUCAGUUUUUUGCAUAUACAAUAUCUGCUGAAGACAUUCAUGUUCAUGAAUCUAUUGUAUUUUUCUUCUAAAGGAUUUAGUGUCAUAAAACAAAAACAAACAUCUAAACAAACAAAAGCAGUGCACUUUCAGAGGUCACAUGACCAGUGUCUGAAAGCCCAACCUCCAUCAUUUUCAAAUUGUGUGUUAGUGUGUGUGUGUGUGUGUGUGUGUGUUUAUGUGGGCAUGUAUACAUGCUCCUGAGUGAACUUGUGUAAGAAAGAUGUGGAUAUAUGGGGUUGUGUGAAGAUGAGAAUUAUUACGAUAAACACCCUAGAACUGGUAUUAAACAUCAGGCUUAUGAGAAUAAUGUUUCAGACUCAUGUGUAUGAACCCAACAAACAUUUAGUUUUUUAAGAGGACUAUCUGCUGUAGUUAGAAAGUGAUGGCGAGGAGGCAAUACUUGGAGCCUGGGCUGUUUCUUAGGCUAAACAAAAGGGCUUAUGUUUGAAUUCUUUAUACUUCUGUACAAUUAUUUUACCCAGAACUCUGAGGCAAUACAAGCCUCUAGUAUAAUUUGUAAACAUAUAUAAACAUGCUUUAUGAGGCUUGAAUUUGGGGACUCUAGCCUAUCAUUUUGUAGGCUUCACCACUAACCUAAAUUCAAUGGUCUUGUGAAAGUUCUGAAAACCAUUGCCCUCUGGGCUACAAAAAUUGAAUACCCUGACAAAAAUACACGUGUGUAUUCUGAUGUAAUUUUUCUAACAUAAUUACUAUAUUAUAAAAAUGUGUUUCACUAAAGGAAUUGCAGUUAAUUGCAAACUCUCAUGAAAUAUCCUGUAUUUAAACAUGUAUAGUUUUCUAAAGGAUAUUUUAAUUGGCAGCUAUGUGUGCUCAUAUUUUGUCCACUCACGUAGCUACUAAGGAAUAUUUAGAGAUCUUUGAACCAACUAAUUUUUCAGGGAUUUUUGCAGUUGUUUUUACAUAAUAAACAUGCUUUCUAUAGAUGACUCAAAUCAAUAACUUAGAAAUCACAAAAUUGUACUUUUAAUAAGUUUAACCCUUUUUUAUUAUGCUUUAAGUUCUGGGAUACAUGUGCAGAACGUGCAGGUUUGUUACAUAGGUAUACGCGUGCCAUGGUGGUUUGCUGCACUCAUCAACCCAUCAUCUAAAUUAGGUAUUUCUCCUAAUGCUAUCCCUCCUCUAGCCCCCCACCCCCGACAGGCCCUGGUGUGUGAUCUUCCCCUCCCUGUGUCUAUGUGUUCUCAUUAUUCAACUCCCACUUAUGAGUGAGAACAUGUGGUGUUUGGUUUUCUGUUCCUGUAUUAGUUUGCUGAGAAUGAUGGCUUCCAGCUUCAUCUAUGUCCCUGCAAAGGACAUGAACUCAUACUUUUUUAUGGCUGCAUAGUAUUCCAUGAUGUAUAUGUGCCACAUUUUCUUUAUCCAGUCUAUCAAAAUGUUGCUAAUAUUUAUAAACCCUUAGAUUUAUGUAUGUCUUAAUGGGGAAUAGUAUUCUUAUUUGAUAAUAUAUUGAAUUAUAAAGCUUAAGGUACAAUUAUGUGUAAAUAAAUAUAUUUUAUAUAUAUGCCUGAAAAGCUAACAUUACAGAGAAAAUGGACAAUGGGAUCAACUUUAAUGAGACUGUUGUAUUUUUCUCAAUUUUGGUCUUCCUGUCUCUCUCUGGAGAGUGACUAUAAAUUUCAGCUCUGCCCUGACAGGGCUCGAGGGAAGGUGGUCAUGGAUGUUUACAGCAUGUCUUUCACAGGAAACUUUGUUAUCCUGGCAGACAGCCUAAUGCCCAGGUGCUCAACCUGUGACCAGGUGUCCCUCUCACCUGGUUGAUAUCAUCAGAUGCCCUUGUGGUUUUUUGUCUGACCUGUGUCCAGUUUGAAUACCAAGAUAGACACUCUAGGAGAGGCCUGACAGGGAGGAGAGUUAGAUUUGAGUGUGUCUGUCUGGCAAGACACAGAGGAGGCAGCAUGACAAAACACAUGAAGGAAUAGAAGCACUUUAUGACUCAUAGAUCCAUGAGAGAAGAGGACUGCCCCUGAUGACCCAUGGGAAGUCCAGAGAUAGCUGGGUGCUUGACCAGGGGGAGAGGGAGAGGGAGAGGGAGAGGAAGAGGGAGAGAGACCGGACCUGUGGGACUUUAAUAAGGUCCCUGAGCAUUAUCUUUAGGCUUUCCCUAGGGUUAUAAAUUGGCUAGGUUAAGGAAAUCACACCCAAAAAGAGAAAAUUAUUUACAUGACUCUAAUGUUGACCAUUAGGUUUUAUUGUGGUUAGCAGCUGUGGGUGUGUUGUUUUGGCCUCACGGGAGUGAGGAACAAGCAGACUAUAUUGCAAAGGAGAAGUUUCAACUAGACCAAGUAUGACAGGUACAACUGGGUUUCAAAUAACUAUGUUGGCCUAAAAAUAGAUGCUGAGGCAGCCACUAUAUUAAACACAUUUAUGACAGAGACAUGUUUAUAAAAUAUAUGGUCAGAAAAGAUUGGAAAUAAUGAGACAAAUGAUCGUAAGCAUUUUGGUGGGAACCAUAAUGAGGCCUAUGGGUCAGUGAAGGCGUGGAUAGAGAGGAGCUGUGGAGGCCGAAACCUGAAACCUCACUGGGGAAGCGGGUCAAUGUGAAGCUUGGCUUAAGAGGAUUAAUCGAAGGAGAUGGCAGAGAACAGCCCAGGGGCAGUGAGAUAUUUCCAAAUCUAUGGAACUGUCCUCUAAAAUAAUGCAUUUGCAAAGGCCUUAUCUGCAUUUUCAGGUGUGAUUAUUGAUCAUUCAUUUACAUGUUAUAACACUUCUCUCCUGGAAGUCUCUCUACUCCAAGAGAAACAAACAUACAAACAUGUACAUGUGUGCUUGUUACAGGUUUUCUUAGUCUAUAAUCCAUUUCCAAAUAUCCUUGAAAUAAAACAACAAUGGAAAGAAGAAGAAAAUACUUCUUCAUAUAUAUUAACUAUAUAUAACUAUAGAUUUUAUCUCUUAUGAGAUUAGCUUGGUUCUUUUAAUUUUUACACAUUUCCCGUGUUUGAUGUAACAAACCAAAACUGAACUUUAACUGAAGACUUACAUUCUAAUUCUACCUUCUGCAGUUACUUUCAUGAAAGUAACUUAAUUUCACCAAGAUUUAGUGUUCUAAUAUUGAUAGAAGAGAGUCGUAUCUUAUCGUAUAUUGCAAAAAUCAAAUAUCACGAUUUUGCACAACACUUGACACAUACUUCUAGAAUUAUUUCUAUUUUUCUUAUAAAUUUUUACAUUUUCAGGACUGUUAUCUAGAUGAGUUAUACCCAUAUGGCGGUAUGUACAAUAUAUUUGUGACUGACACUAUUUGAUGAUUUAAUGCCCUGCUUUGACAAGAUCAUACAUGUAUAAUUUUACUGUUAUUAAAUAUUUUGAACAUCACUCUUCUAUGUUUAUUUAAUUGAUUAAUGAGAGGAAAACAGUUGUUCAUAGAUGAGAAUGGGGUGAAAUGGGACAAGGUGUGGAAAGUCAAAGAUGGGGACUAACAAGGCCACAUCUAGCUUAUAGGUCUGGAUAGCCUAUAUUUAUUUCCUGUAUUGCUUUUUAAGGUAAGAGUAGGGUAAUACUGAAUCUUGUUUUGUUUUUUAAUUUUUCUUUUUUUUUCUUUUUUUUAGUAGAUGUAUUUAUAAGCUCAAAUACUCACAAAUGAAAAAAGAAGAGUGAUUAAUGUUAAAUGCAGGCAUAUGAACAAGAUUAUGUCUGAGGUUUUUUCCAAGAUUAAAAUUUUGUGAACACCUUUCUAAGCGUUUGCUGCUUUAUAGGCAUAAUUAGACUGGGAGGUUUAGAUAGUAUUCUAGGUACUUAAGAAAAAACGUGAACAAGACAUAUAUGUUACAAAAGAGUUUAAUGUCUAAUUACAAAGUUCUCCAUAUAUACUUAAAAAUGAAACUUCAAUUAUUAUUAAAUUUUAUAUAUCAUACAAGAGGCAGUAUCAGAAAUUAAACUACAAGUCCAGUUUAUUUAUUUAUUUAUUUUAUUUUAUUUUAUUUUAUUGUUUAGAUUAUACUUUAAGUUCCGGGAUACAUGUGCAGAAUGUGCAGGUUUGUUACACAGGAAUACAUGUGCCAUGGUGGUUUGCUGCACCUAUCAACCCAUCAUCUAGGUUUUAAGCCCCACAUGAAUUAGGUAUUUGUCUUUAUGCUGUCCCUCCCAUUACCCCCUACCCCUCACAAGUUCAAUAUUUGUUAUGGUGCUUAUUUAGGCUGUAGUCUUGGAUAUAUGUCCUUGCACAUAUAAUUUACCACCACUACUCCUGCCAUACACUACUCUGUGGUAAAUGGUAUGUACAAGAGCAUAUAUUCAAGGCAUAUAUCCACUCUGGUAAAUGAGGCAAAAAGUAUUCAUGGUAAAAAUCGAAACAACAUUUGAUAGUUUAAAAAGAUAAACUAGUAUUUCCUGCUCUAAGAAAAAUAUCUUUUCUAAUAAUUUGUUUAUUGCUGAUUUUUAUUAAACUAUUCACCUUUUGUUUUUUGACUAAAUAAAAUAUAUAUAAUAUAAAAAUAAAAUAAUUGUUUAGAUGAGCUAUUCUACUAAAUAAAAUACAUAUGAUACAAAAAUAAAAGCACUGAUUGUCUAGAUGAGAUACAUGAGUUUAUACCAAAAAAAGAUGAUUUCCUACAAGAAGAGUUUACUUCUGGUUUUUCAUUUAUCUAAAUACUACUUAUGUAAGUUUUCUGUAAAAAAUCAAAGGAAAACACAAGUAAUUUUUUCAAUAUAAAAGUAUUUAGCUAUAACUCACAUUAGUUUAAAAAACAGUGGAAUAGAAUACUAAAACUGCAAAUCAAUUAUGAUCUCUAAAAUAUUUUAAGAAAGAAUGCUAUUUUAAAUAUUUUAGUAAAAUAUAUUUUAGUACAGAAAUCAUCAGAGGGUUAACCAGGUAAAUCUUCUGUCAAUAAUCUGUUAUUAUUUUUAUUCUAUGAGGAUAAAAAAGGUAAAUAUUCGUGUUUUCUAGUGAAUUGUGUUUUUUUGUGUAUUGUAUUUCUAUUGCAUUUAAGAACCAGUAAAUAUUCAAAAGGUUACACAACCCAUUCUGAAAACUCCUACUAAAAUUCUUGUGAAACAGAAGAAUGACUGCAUAAUACAAAGUUAAAAGAAUAAAUACAUCCUAUAUCCUGCUGUGAUAGUCAAAUUUCAGUUUUCUUUUUAAUCUCUGUGAACAAUCUAAUUAGACACAAUUGAUUUCUAGGUCCUUAAGUAGGAGUUAUUUAAUUGAGGGAGUAGUGAUUUUUCAUAAGAAAGUGGUUAUCUUGAGCUGUCCAAUGUAGUAGCCAUUAGCUAUAUAUGGCUAUUUAAAUGUAUAUUAAGUAAAAUUAAAUAAACCUAGAAUUUCAGUUACUCAGCUAUAUUACAAGCGCUCAACAUCCACAUAUGCCCAGUGGCCACCAUAUGGGACACAGAAGAGUGAUAGAACAUUUCCAUCAUCGCAGGAAGUUCCACCCGGAAGCACUAGUAGAAACCUUCUGUUGCAUUGUAUCUACCUCGACAGGUUUUAGUUGCAGAGCUGAAAUUCCCGAUAUGUUAAUGCAUAUCAUGUAACAGCCUUUAACAUAUUAAGCAUAGUUAUGUUUACUUUCUUGUGUGACAGACCCCCUUCUUUUGAUAGGCCUUUAGUGUGAGGAGUUGACAUGAUCUAGUCAGGAGUUGAGCUUAUUUUCAUUUUUGUUGUCAUUGUGAACCUCCGCAUGCUUCAAACUCUUCUAAUGUUUCAUGUAUUUUGGAUGAUUGCUGGGUUGCUUGACUCAUUUUCUCAAUAUUUCUCUUCUACCUCAGCUUUAGGUUUCCCCUAUAAUCCUGCACCUCAAAGAUGCUCUUUCUUCCUUCUUCUUAUUCCUUAAUAGUGGACUAAAGUUUUUUGUUACUUGGAAUUCUAUUUGCUCAUUUCAGCCUUAGUCUUAGGCAUGUGGUCCAUCCCUGGGUGUUAGGAAUGAGAGAAAAUCAAUAUUUCUCACAUCUGCAAUGAUAGGGGAUCUGCUAUGGUCUGGGUCCCAAAGCCCAAAGUUUCUCUUUCUAUUUAUUUCCUCCAGUGGUAAUGGUCUUCACCCUAUACCCUGAGUAUGGUAACGUUUACCAUCCUACCCCAGUGUCUUCAGGCUUUUGUUCAGAAGGAAAAAUAAGAGAGUGGGUCUCGGAUCCCUCCAGUCAAUUCAUCCUGCAGUGGCUGUUCCUUGGCUCUCCUAAGCCUGCCAUGUGUGCGAAGCUUUCUCUAGUCCCCUGCCUUGUGACCAAUCUUUCUAGUGAGCGCCUGUGAGAUGUAUUGCUAAAAGAUGUAGGUGGGUGUAAUUUCCCUUGUUUUUUAUGCUCCAGUAUCAGUAUACUCUCAGCCUAUCCCACAUUCAGCUUUGAAACAUUCAUUAAAUAUUUUACCUGAAUUAUUAUUACUAGUUUGUAUAGCGCCCAGAAUCUGCCUCAGGUAACAAGAGCUUACAUUCACAUCUCUCCCUGGUAGUGUCUCUCUUGUCUUAGGUUUAAUGCUAGUUUUUUGCUGUGUGACCUCAGGUAUCUGAUGGGAUGAAGAAAAACUAUGGUUACAUAGAUUAUAUCGCUUUUCUUCUUGUCAUAGUGAUUGGAGGUAUGUUCCUUUCAGAUUUUUCUAUCUUAAGUAGAAGUUGGGAGAAAAAUGUACAUUAUCAUGUAAAAUAAUAUAUUUCUUUUAAUUUCAGCUCAUUUCUAGUGCCCUACAGUAAAAUAUACUUCUGGUCCUGUUUUUUUAUUAUUAUUAUUUUAUUUUUUAUUUUUCUUCUCUUUCCAAAAUACUUUCCUCUUCUCUCUUUUUUUUUUAAGCUAGACAUGGGUGUGGAGCUGGUUGACUGUGCACUGGUUAUCAACUUGUCUGAGCCUAGUGAGACAGAACACACUCAUAAUCAACAAAUUAUAUAAAUCAUGCUCAUUACAUACAGAUAGGCAGGAAGAGACAACAGCAGUCUGGGAUUUAUUGUGAGCCAGUACUUCAAGGGUCAGAAAGCUGCCUGGGGCAGAUGAAGUCUUUGCUGCAUGUUUCCCACUUGAACUGCAGCUGAGGGACCCUGAAAGGUAUCCCACUCUGGGUUAUAUACCUUGGGGUAAUAUGAAUCACUGAGCUAAAGCACUGAGUUACAUCCUUUUCUGGGAGGAAGCUAAAACACAUCCCGGGCCAUUACAGCCAGCUCUACUCUUAUUUCAGGAUGUUGCAUUCCCAGUACAUUUUAUAGUUAUUCUUGAGAAUUUCAAACUAGAAAGUGGGGAGAGCCAGGCUGGUCAAUCUAAGACCACCCAGGAAACUAUCCUGUAAUGGGUUCUGAUGUUGAUUAACAAAGUGUGAUAUAUAUACUUACGUUACAAAGAAAAAUAAUUAUUUUGGGGCGAAAUUUGAUUUUACUUAUUUUUAUUCUCUUUUCCCCACACAAGUACAUGCUCAGAACUACACACAGACACACACACACAACUCAUCAUUAUCUAUGUUUAGUUCUUUAGAGGUUUGAUCAGAACAUUCAGUGACAGCCCCACAUUGUGUGCAUAUUUUAUUUUUAUUCAAUAUUCAGUAGGAAAAAGACACGCUCUUUUGGAUAUCUGUCUGAUGUAUUUGUAUUAUUUUGUAUUUAGUAUAAAUUCACAUUUCUUCUGCUGGGAUGGUGUCUUUAAGUUUGUUUUUGUUUUUGUUUGUUUGUUUGGUUUGGUUUCCAUUGUUAAUAAAAAAAUUACUGUAUUGUCCUCUAGUGUAAAUAUAAUAAUAUGGCAAAAUAAUGCAGUUAUAAUAAUCUAGAACUUGUGGGGUUUUUUUAAUUACUCCAUAAGCCAGGACUAAAGAGAUUCUUCUGGAUUUUAGUCUCUCAUCCUACCCCAGAUUGCUCACUUAUGGGUUUUGGAUUACAUUGAGUACAGGUCAGAGGAUGCCAGAGAGAGAAAAGUGGUACACUCACAACUGGUUUGUUACAGUACAAAUUCUGGUUUUCUUCCCUGAUUUGUCUGCUCAUAUUUUCUCUUUAGAGUUUUCAAAUAAUUGUCCUCUGAAUUAAGGGAGGUGUGUAUUUACUCCAUCUUAUCUGUUUCUGAAACACUGGUUUUACAUUUUAAAGAUUUGUAGAAUUAUAUACUGUUUUAUAACUCAAUUAGGCACUUCCAAUUUUGUUUAGAUGUUAUAACUAUAAAAAAGAAUCACAUAUUACAAUAUUAUAUUUGAUAGAUACUAUUUUUAAUCUAACCAAUUAGUGUAACUGGAUCCAUAGAUUUAGAAUCAUAUGCCUUUAAAUCUUUUAUCCAGUCAAAGAAUAAUCUUUUAAUUCUCAGUUCUUAAUGUAUUUUCUUUUCUUUUCUAAGAGAAAGGAGUUAAAACAGUUGACCUGAAAUCCAUUUACUAACUCUUCUAGAGGAAUGCAUCUAGGGAAAUAAGAUAAGAAGCCAUAGGAGCUAGUCUAAUCUUCUUGUCAAUUGCACUGGUAAAGAAAGAGAUUAAUAAUAUUUGCUCAGAGAAAGGUACCUCAUCUCUGAAAUGCUGUUAGUAUAAUAUCCCUGGCUAACAUGUGGUAUCUAGUAAGUAAAACCCAGGACCUAUAGUUCUGUGAAGUAGAGCUCCUUGAAAAAUAUCACUUGAGAUACACAAUUCUCUAGGUAGUAUAAAAUGUCUUUGAUGUCCUAUACCAUUCUAUGCCUUGUCAGAAUCCCUUGAUUUUCUUAUUCUUACAAUUAAUUAGUAAAGUUUGGUCUGAUUCAUAUGAGUCUGAACUGACAAUCAAAUCCUAUCUAGUCACACACAUUUCCACUUUUAAUGUUUUCAGGUCACAUUCACUUAUAACUCUUUUUUACUUGCCUCCCUAUUUGAUUUUAUUAGAUACAUUUUUCACUUUGCUGGGGUUGUUUCUUGAGUGAUUACUUUUUCCCCAUGAAAGAGAUGUUCUUUAAGGGCUUAGAACUUCUUCACAGUUGGUGUGUUCCUGAAACUCACUAGGGACAAAAGGUAUAUAAAACUUUAAAAGUGUGUUUCUUACCCUGUUUCCAAAAUUAAAGGUUGAUGCUGAGGGUGCAGGAAUAAUUCUAUGCUGAAUAAAAUGAACUUAUUUAGUUCCAAGUUAGACAAAAUUACUUAGAUAUCAUAUGCAUGUGAUGAUAUUAUGUAUUUUUUUCAAAAUUUUAGUAGAAGUAUCUGUUUUUGAGAAGUGUCUGUUCAUGUCUUUUGCACACUUAAAAAAAUUAUUUAUUUGAGGUUGUUGAAUUUUUAAAAUUCUUUAUAGAUUAUGGAUAUUAGACCUAUGUCAGAUGCAAAGUUUGUGAAUAUUUUCUCUCAUUUUUCUUAUCUGUUUGCUCUGUUGAUAGUUACUUUUGCUGUGAAAAAAACUCUUUGGUUUAAUUAGGUUUCACUUGUACAUUUUGGGUAUAGCCUAGGUUUUCUUCAAGGAUUUUUAUAGUUUGAGUUCUUACAUUUGAAUCUUAAUCCAUCUUGAGUUAAUUUCCAUAUAUGGUGAAAGGUAAGUGUACAGUUUCAUUCUUUUGCAUAUGGCUAGCUAGUUAAACCGGUACCAUUUAUUGAAUCAAGAGUCCUUUCCCAAUUGUUUGUUUUUGUCAGCCCUAUGGAAGAUCAGAUGCUUGUAAGUGUACAGCUUUAUUUUUGCCUUGUCUUUUCUGUUCCAUAGGUCUAUGUGUCUGUUUUUGCACCAGUACCAUGCUAUUUUGGUUACUGUAGCCUCAUACUAUAGUUUGAAGUUCAUUAGUGUGAUGCCUCUGGGUUUGUUCUUUUUGCGUAGGAUUUCUUUGGCUAUUGCUCUUAUUUGGUUCCAUAUGAAUUUUAGAAUAGUUUUUUAUUCUAAUUUGUGAAGAAUGAUGUUGGUUGUUUGAUAGAAAUAUCAUUGAAUCUGUAAUGACCAUUGUAAUAAUAUUAAUUCUUUCAAUCUAUGAGCAUGGGAUAAUCUUCUAUUUGUUUUUAUCAUCAUUGAUUUCUUUCAGUGUUUUGUAGUUCCCCUCAUAGAGAUCUUUCCCCUCCUUGGUUAGCUGCAGUCGUAUUUCAUUUUUGUGUGUGUGGCUAUUGUAAAUGAGAUUGUGUUCUUGAUUUGAUUCUCAGCUUGAUAUAAUUGGUAUAUAGAAAUGCUACUACUUUUUGUACAUUGAUUUUGUAUUCUGAAAACUUGAUACAUUUAUUUGACAGUUCUAUUAGACUUUUGGUGGAGUCUUUAGUGUUUUAUAACUAUAGAAUCAGCAGCAGCAAAGAGAUAGUGUGAUUUUUUCUUUUCCCAUUUAUGUAUGCCUUAUUUCUUUCUCUUGUCUGAUUACUCUGGCUAUGAAUUCCAGUACUAUGUUGAAUAGGAGUAAUGCAAGUGUGCAUCCUCAUCUUAUUCCAUUUCUCAAGGGUAAUGGUUCCAGCUUUUAAUCAUUCAGUAUGAUCUUGGCUAUGGAUUUUUUGUAGAAGGCUCUUAUUAUUUUGAGGUAUGUUUCUUCUAUGUCUAGUCUGUUGAAAGUUUUUAUCACAAAGUGAUGUUGAAUUUUAUUGACAGCUUUUUCUGCAUCUAUUGAGGUGAUCAUAUAGUUUUUGCUUUUAAUUCUGUUUAUGUUGUGAAUUACGUUUGUUGAUUUGCAUAGACUGAAUAAGUCAUACAUCCCAAGGAUAAAGUGUAUUUGAUAAUUGUGAAUUAACUUACUGAUAUCCUGCUGGGUUCGGUUUGCCAGUAUUUUGCAGAGAAUUUUUGUGCACGUGUUUAUCAGGAAUAUUGGCCUGAAUUUUUCUUUCCUCAUCAUGUCUCUGUCAUAUUUUAGGUUGAUGCUGGCUUCAUAUAAUGAAUUAGGGAGUAAUCGUUUCUCCUAAUUUUUUUCAGGAUGUUUUCAGUAGGAUUGGUAGCAAUUUUUUAUACAUCUGAUAUAACUUAACUGUGAAUCCAUCUUGCCUAGGGCUCUUUUUGGUUGGUAGGUUUUAUAUUACUGAUUCAAUUUCAGCGCUCGUGAACGACUCCUGGGUAAAUAACAAAAUUGAGGCAGAAAUCAAGAAGUUCUUUGAAACCAAUGAUAACAAAGAGACAAUGUUCCAGAAUCUUUGGGACACAGCUAAAGCAGUGUUAAAAGGGAAAUUUAUAGCACUAAAUGCCCACAUCAGAAAGCUGGAAAGAUCUCAAAUCAACCCCCUAACAUCACAAUUAAAAGAAUUAGAGAAGAAAGAGCAAACAAAUUCAAAAGCUAGCAGAAGACGAGAAAUAACCAAGAUCAGAGCAGAACUGAAGAAGCUAGAGACACAAAAAACCCUUCAAAAACUCAAUGAAUCCAGAAGCUGGUGUUUUGAAAAAAAUUAACAAAAUAUACAGACUGCUAGCUAGACUAAUAAAGAAGAAAAGGCAGAAGAUUCAAAUAGACACAAUAAAAAAUGAAAAAAAGUAUAUCACCACUGUUUGCACAUAAAUGCAAACUACCAUUAGAGAAUACUAUAAACACCUCUAUGCAAAUAAAUUAGAAAGUCUAGAAAAAAUUGAUAAAUUCCUGGACAAAUACACCCUACGAGACUAAAUCAGGAAGAAGUCAAAUCCCUGAAGAGAUCAAUAACAAGUUCUGAAAUUGAGUCAGUAGUUAAUAGCCUAACAACCAAAAAAAUCCCAGGACCAGAUGGAUUCACAGCCCAAAUCCACCAGAGUUACAAAGAGGAGCUCGUACCAUUCCUUCUGAAAUUAUUCCAAAUAAUUGAAAAGGAGGGACUCCUCCUUAACUCAUUCUAGGAGGCCAACAUCAUCCUGAUACCAAAACCUGGCAGAUACACAACAAAAAAAGAGCACUUCAGACCAAUAUCCUUGAUGAACAUUAAUGCAAAAAUCCUCAAUAAAAUACUGGCAAACCAAAUCCAGAAGCACAUCAAAAAGCUUAUCCACCAUGAUCAAGUUGGCUUCAUACCUGGGAUGCAAGUCUGGUUCAACAUAAGCAAAUCAAUAAAUGUAAUCCAUCACAAAAACAGAACCAAUGACAAAAACCACGUGAUUAUCUCAAUAGAUGCAAAAAAGGCCUUCAACAAAAUUCAACAUCCCUUCAUGUUAAAAACUCUCCUUGAAGAGGUCCUUCACAUCCCUUGUAAGUGGUAUUCCUAGGUAUUUUAUUCUCUUUGUAGCAGUUGUAAAUGGGAGUUCACUCAUGAUUUGGCUCUCUGUCGGUUAUUGGUUUAUAGGAAUGCUUGUGAUUUUUGCACAGUAAUUUUGUAUCCUGAAACUUUGCUGAAGUUGUGCAUCAGCUUAAGGAGUUUAUAGGCUGAGACGACGGGGUUUUCUAAAUAUACAAUCAUCUCAUCUGCAAACAGAGAUAAUUUGACUUCCUCUCUUUCUGUUUGAAUACUUUCUAUUUAUUUCAUUUGCCUGAUUGCCCUGGCCAGAACUUCUAAUACUAUGUUGAAUAUGAGUGGUGAGAGAGGGCAUACUUGUAUUGUGCUAGUUUUCAAAGGGAAUUCUUCCAGCUUUUGCCCAUUCAGUAUGAUAUUGGCUGUGGGAUUUUCAUAAAUAGCUCUUAUUAUUUUGAGAUAGUUCCAUCAAUACCUAGUUUAUUGAGUGUGUUUAGCAUGAAGGGGUGUUGAAUUUUAUCAAAGGCCUUUUCUGCAUCUAUUGAGAUAAUCAUGUGGUUUUGUCAUUGAUUCUGUUUAUGUCAUGAAUUACGUUUAUUGAUUUGGAUAUGUUGAACCAGCCUUGUAUCCCAGGGAUGAAGCUGAUUUGAUUGUGGUGGAUAAGCUUUUUAAUGUGCUGCUGAAAUCAUUCUACUAUAAAGACACAUGCACACAUAUGUUUAUUGCAGCACUAUUCACAAUAGCAAAGUCUUGGAACCAUCCCAAAUGUCCAUCAAUGAUAGACUGGAUAAAGAAAAUGUGGCACAUAUACACCAUAGAAUACUCUGCAGCCAUACAAAAGAAUGAGUUUAUGUCCUUUUUAGGAAACCAUCAUUCUCAGCAAACUAACACAGGAACAGAAAACCAAACACCACAUGUUCUCACUCAUAGGUGGGAGCUGAACAAUGAGAGCUUAUGGGCAUAGGGAGGGGAAUAUCACGCACUGGGGCCUGUAAGGGUGUGGAUGGCAAGGGAAGGGAUAACAUUAGGAGAAAUACCUAAUGUAGAUGACGGGUUGAUGGGUGCAGGAAACCACCAUGGCACAUGUAUACCUAUGUAACAAACCCGCACGUUCUGCACAUGUAUCCCAGACCUUAAAGUAUAAUAGAAAUUAAUUAAAUAAUAAAUAAAUUAAUAAAAAUAAAUUUUAAAAACUCUCAAUAAACUAGGUAUUGAUGGAACAUAUCUCAAAAUAAUAAGAGCUCUUUAUGACAAACCCAUAGCCAAUAUCAUACUGAAUGGGCAAAAGCUGGAAGCAUUUCCUUUGAAAACCAGCACAAGACAAGGAUGCCCUCUCUCACUCCUCCUGUUCAACAUAGUAUUAGAAGUUCUGGCCUACACACUUAGGCAAGAAGAAGAAAAAAAGGUAUUCAAAUAGGAAGAGAGGAAGUCAAAUUGUCUCUGUUUGCAGAUGACAUGAUCCUAUAUAUAGAAACCCCAUUGUUUCAGUCCCCAAACUCCUUAAGUUGAUGAGCAACUUCAGCAAAGUCUCAGGAUACAAAAUCAAUGUGCAAAAAUCACAAGAAUUCCCAUACACCAACAAUGGAAAAGCAGAGAGCAAAAUCAUGAAUGAACUCCCAUUCACAAUUACUAUUACUACAAGGAGAAUAAAAUACCUAGGAAUACAGAUUACAAGGGAUGUGAAGGACCUCUUCAAGGAGAACUACAAACCACAGCUCAAAGAAAUAAGUGACAACACAAAAAAAUGGAAAAACAUUCCAUACUUAUGGAUAGGAAGAAUCAAUGUCAUGAAAUGGCCAUACUCCCCAAGUUAAUUUAUAGAUUCGAUAUUAUUACCAUCAACUUUCCUCACAGAAUUAGAAAAAAACUACUUUAAAUUUCAUAUGGAACCCAAAAAGAGCCCAUAUAGCCAAGAAAAUCCUAAGCAAAAAGAACAAAGCUGGAGGCAUCAUGCAACCUGACUUCAAACUAUACUACAAGGCUAUAGUAACCACAGCAGCAUGGUACUGGGUGCCAAAACAGACAUAAAGACCAAUGGAACAGAACAGAGACCUCAGAAAUAACACCACACAUCUACAGCCAUCUAAUUUUCGACAAACCUGACAAAAACAAGCAAUGGGGAAAGAGUUCCUUAUUUAAUAAAUGGUGUUGGGAAAACUGGCUAGCCAUGUGCAGAAAACUGAAACUAGACCCCUUCCUUACACUUUAUACAAAAAUUAACUCAAGAUGGAUUAAAGACUUAAACGUAAGACCCAAAACCAUAAAAUCCCUAGAAGAAAACCUAGACAAUGUCAUUCAGGACAUAGGUAUGGGCAAAGACUUCAUGACUAAAACACCAAAAGCCAUUACAACAAAAGAUACAAUUGACAAAUGGGAUCUAAUUAAAGAGCUCCCACACAGCAAAAGAAACUAGCAUCAGAGUAAACAGGCAACCUGCAGAAUGGGAGAAAAUUUUUACAAUCUACCCUUCUAACAAGGGUCUAAUAUCCAGAAUCUACAAGGAACUUAAACAAAUUUGAAAGAAAAAAACAAACAUUCCCAUUAAAAAGUGGGCAAAGGAUAUGAACAGACACUUCUCAAAAGAAGACAUUUAUGUGGCCAACAAACAUAUGAAGAAAAUCUCAUCAUCACUGAUCAUUAGAAAAAAGCAAAUCAAAACCACAAGGAGAUACCAUCUCACACCAGUGAGAAUGGCAAUUAUUAAACAACAGUCAGGAAACAACAGAUGCUGGAGAGGAUGUGGAGAAAUAGGAACGCUUUUACACUGUUGGUGGAAAUGUAAAUUAGUUCAACCAUUGUGGGAGACAGUGUGGCAAUUCCUCAAAGAUCUAGAAUCAGAAAUACCAUUUGACCCAGCAAUCCCAUUACUGGGUAUGUACCUAAAGGAAUAUAGAUUAUUCUACCAUAAAGAUGCAUGCACAUGUAUGUUUAUUGCAGCACUAUUUACAAUAGCAAAAACAUAGAACCAACCCAAAUGUCCGUCAAUGAUAGACUGGAUAAAGAAAAUGUGGAACGUAUACACCAUGGAAUACUAUGCAGCCAUAAAAAGAAUGAGAUCAUGUCCUUUGCAGGGACAUGGUUGAAGCUGGAAGCCAUAAUCCUCAGCAAACUUACACAGGAACAGAAAGCCAAACACCAUAUAUUCUUACUCAUAAGUGGGAGUUGAACAAUGAGAACACAUGGACACAGGGAGGAGAACAACACACACCGGGGCCAGUUGAGGGGUGGUUGGCAAGGGGAGGGAGAGCAUGAGGACAAAUACGUAAUGUGUGUGGGGCUUAAAACCUAGAUGAUGGGUUGACAGGUGCAGCAAACCACCAUGGCAUAUAUGUACCUAUGUAACAAACUUGCACAUUCUGCACAUGUAAACCCGAACUUAAAGUAAAAUUUUAAAAUAAAAUAAAAUAAAUAAACUGGACUUGUAGUUUAAUUUCUGAUACUGCCUCUUGUAUGAUAUAUAAAAUUUAAUAAUAAUUGAAGUUUCAUUUUUAAGUAUAUAUGGAUAACUUUGUAAUUAGAAAUUAAACUCUCUUGUAACAUAUAUGUCUUGUUCACGUUUUUUCUUAAGUACCUAGAAUACUAUCUAAACCCGAACUUAAAGUAAAAUAAUAAAAAAAAUUUGAAAAAAAUUGAAACCUUUAAGAAAUAUGGAAUUAUGUAUAGAGACCCAAUAUGUGACUCAUUAGCAUUUAUGAGAAGGAAAAGGAGAGAAUAAGCAACUUGAAAAAUAUAUUUGAGAAUAUAGUUCAUUAAAAUUUCUAUAAUCUCAAUAGAGACAUUCAUAUACAAAUCCAAUAAAGAUGGAGGACCCCAUCUAGAAACUAUACAAGAUGACUAUCCCCAAGGCACAUAGUAAUCAGAUUCACUUAGAUCAAUGGAAAAGAAAAAAAAAGAUCUUAAAAGCAGCUAGAGAAAGGGGUCAAGCCAAGUACAGAGGAGAAUUCAUCAGGCUAACAGCAGAACUCUCAGCAGAAACCUUACAAGACAGAAGUGAUUGGGACCCUAUUUUAUUUAUCCUUAAAGUAAAGAAAUUCCAACCAAGAAUUUCAUAUCCUGCCAAAUUAAAUGUUAUAAGUGAAGAAGAAACGAACUUCUUCUCAGAGAAGCAAGUGCAAAAGGAAAUCAUUUCUACUAGACUAGCCUUACCAGAGGUCCUAAAAGGAAUGCUAAACAUUGAAUCAAAAGAAUGACAUCUGCUUCCACAAAAAUACACUUAUGCACAUAGACCACAGGCACUCUUUGUUUUUAUACUUUAAGUUCUAGGGUGCAUCUGCACAAUGUGCAGGUUGGUUACAUAUGUGUACCUGUGCUGUGUUGGUUUGCUGCACCGAUUAACUCAUCAUGUACAUUAUAUUACCGCAUGUUCUCACUCAUAAGUGGGAUGAUUUAACUGGGGAUGUAGUAAAAAUCUCUAAAAAUGAUUCUUCCAAGUUAUUAAUAUCAGUGUUAAUCUCUGCAAAUCCCCCUAAUAAUGCAACUUUUUUUUCUUUUCUUUCUUUUUUUUUUAUUUAUUUAUUUAUUUAUUUAUUUAUAUUGUCUCACUAUCUUUUUUGGGAUGAGAAUAAGUGGCAGGUGUGAGUGUCAGCUUCAGUUUCUUUCUGCCAUAACAGGACUCACUUCAUGUGUCAGGGAACCAUGUUGGGGAUUCUGCUGGUUAUAUGAUGUAUCUAUUAUCAGUGCACAGUCUGAUAAUCAAGGGAAAACCACAAAGAUAAAUCCCACAGGGAAUCCACAGUGUGAUGAAAUCAGCACAGGAGUCAGUAAAUUCCCUUUCUGUGCACCGUGAUGGUGUUUCAGUUUUGUGAUGCUUAGUAGUAUUUCAGAGCCACUGUUUAUAUAUGCCCUGUCAGACCUAUGUUUCCUUUUUGUCACUGCACAGUAACCAUAGUUAAUGGUCUCAGGUUUGUAUUUGAAAACUUAGAUGAAAUUUCACAUUUAAAAUCCCAUUGCAGGAACCUUUUUGAAAAGUAUCUGGUCUUGUGUUCAUGGUGGUCAUCUGGUUAUGUGAACUGAUACCUGGGUAAGAAGAUAUAAAUUUCCACAAUGGUGACAUGGUGACUCGAGACAUAUUCACUACAUCUACACACACACACACACACACACACACACACACACACAGCUUCCCUCACAUAGAUCAAGUUUCUUUGAUCUACCUAUCACUUGCAUACCUCAGAACACUGUACUCCAUUAGCUAUCACUGAAGAUCACUGCUUUUCAAAACAUUUUGUUUAGGCAACUUUCUGCUUUGCUGUCUAUGGAUAAGCAAAGUCAUAUAGCCUCUACCACUGUAAAGUACAUUAUUUCCUUGAAAUCAGGGAGCUGUAUUUUAUUAUGUCAUCUCCCACCAUCAUGCUUCUCUUACAGACAAAAAAACAAAAAAAGCAAUGACAAAUCAUUUAAAGGAUUCUGGAGCUCCCUUUACCAAAACAUUUCUUAGUGUCUUGAACAGGGUGUGUCUUCCUGAUCUUCUAAGGAAUAUAAUGAGGUGGUAUCUGAGUGGUUGCACAUAAUACGUUAAUCUUAAUAGAAACAUCACUGAAAACUUUAAGACAUCUGCAGUGCGUCUAGAAAAUUACAGCACUUCUAUCUCAUUUACUGUAGACCACAUUUAAGUCUAGGAAUUAAUCUAUGACACCAACACAUUGUUAAUUCUAUUUUCUGAAGCUCAAGAAAGCAUGCUAACUACAGAUUUUGUGUGUGUGUGGGGGGGGCACCAUAAUGUACAUUUGACUAGGAAAAAAAUCCUCUUUUAUCUAAUAUAGUUAGACUGCACUUCUACAACAUGUACCCUAUAGUUGCUGAAAAGAUCUACCACUCAGUUAGUACAUAUAGGAGAUUGCCUCCUUGUACCUCUUCCUCUUUGUUAUGAUAGGACCUAACUCUUAUUAUGGGAUCAGAGGCAAGGGGAAAUAGAGAGAAAAGUUACAAAUAUAGCUGGCUUUCUCUAGUGAAGAAACUGUACGAGGUAAUGUAAAAUUUUGCAAUUUUGUUACAAAUUACAACAGGUAAUAUAAAAUUUUGACCUCCCCUAGAGGAUAUGUAGAAUGGGUAAAGAGAAGGCUGCUAUUCCUGGCAGAAAAAGCAAAAAAGCGCAGGAGAACUUGAGAGGUCAGAGUCAUCUGCCUAAUCUCUGUCUACCCAAAUAUAUUCAACCCAUGUUUCGAGUUUCACAUUUCUCAAGCUUAGCAUAAGGGUUCUGGAGUGGUUUAACAUUUAACUUAACUGGCACUAUAACACUGUGACCCUUACCAUUAGGCCUGUGAUACGGUUUGGAUGUUCAUUCCCUCCAAAUCUCAUGUUGAAAUGUGACUCCCAAUGUCAUAGGUAGGACCCAGUGGGAGGUGACUAGAUAAUGGGGACAGAUCUCUCAUGAAUAGCUAAACACCAUCCUCCUGGUGAUAAGUGAUUUCCUGCUGUUAGUUCACACAAGAUCCUUUUGUUUAAAAGAAUCUGGGGCUUCUCCUUUCUCUCUCGCUUACUUCUCCUCUUGCCAUGUGAAUUGCCUCCUCCUGAUUUGCCUUCUGCCAUGAGUAAAGCUUCCCAAGACCUCACCAGAAGCCGCGCAGGUGUCAGCACCAUGCUUUCUGUACAGCCUGCAGAACCAUAAGCCUAUUAAAACUUUUUUUUGGUAAAUUAUCCAUCUUUGGGUAUUUUUUUAUAGCAAUGCAGGAAUGGCCUAAUACAGUGUUUGCUUGAUGAUUUAGCCACAGCUUCUUUGUAGAACCAUUCACUGCUGUCAAAAGCCUACGAUUUUUUUUCACCUGUGCCCAGAGAUGUCCAUUCAAGUUAUCCAUUAAUUUCAUGUUACAUGUGUUCUCCCCAGAGACAUUAAACAAUCAUGGCACAAUCAGUGUUAUCAUCACUACUGUGAUGAUGACUGACUGCUCAAGCACUUGGUCUCUCAAUGCCUUGAACUCUACCAGAGUGGCAUCCCAUGUUACCACAAGUGAUGAUGUAAGUAAUUGUGAACUACCACUCAAGCCAUUAAUAAAGUGUCUCCUUUCCUUUUUUCAAGGAAUGAGUAACUCGAUUUUUAAAUUUCAUUUUGAAAAUCUAUUUCUUCAUGUCACUAUUACAAUUAAUAUUUUUUCAGUCUGGUCCUGAUGUAAAACAGAUGACACACACAAAAAUAAAAUUAUUAAAGAAAAUUUAAUAAAAUAAUUUUAACUAUAUUUAUUAAAGAGAUUUAAGAAAAGCAACAACAAUGACAAAAACUUCAAAGCGAAAGGAAAUCCCAAAAAGAUGCUGAAGCACCACUGGCCUAGAAAUAGUGGAAAGCUGUUACCAAUCCUUAGGCUUGCAAAAGCAAAGACAAGGAGUGGUUACAAGAAUCCAGAAAUAAUUGUAGAUGUCAUAGUAGAUGGCAGGGCAGAAGAUGUGACCUUAGUAAAGACAGAGUACUACUAACAGUCUGACGUCCAAAAGAGGGCACGAUGAAAAUAAAUGCCCCAACUUCUUCUUCUUAUUCUGGUCUCCUUCUAAUACCUUUUAUAAGCUUUUCUAAACUGUGAGCUAGUAGGCAAAACAGCAAAGUUGAAGCAAACCACGGAUGUCAGGCUUCCGGUUCUCAUGACAGAAUGUAGAAAGGUGAAAGGGUGAUAUGGAAUCUCCAGCACACUGCCUAAUUAAUAUGAAAAAGUCUUUCUACCCUCAAAUUUAAAGAGCCUGUUUUUCCAGCUGAAAGUGCCAGUGCACAUUGGCCUAGUCUUCAGUGUGUUUUGUGGUAGAAUUUAGUUGUUUCCCCAUAUGAUAGUUUCAUUUUGAGCAAUAUCUCAUCUAAGUCAGCUUUCUCUUGCUCCCUAUGUAGAACCUUUAUGUCUGAAAACUAAUAAACAUAAUUUCUGUUCCAUCAGAGCAUAUCUCUGUAUUCUCUUAAUCUUGAUAAUGAACUCUAUCGCUCUGUCUAGACAAGGCAGUGCAUAGGCAGAAAGUAGGGGCAGACAGCUUAGUUAGGGUCCCAGGAACCUGGCAUGUUCUGCUGCACCGAAAACCAAAGUUUUUGUGCCAACUCUUCAUUUUCCAAGUUCUGGAUACUAAGUUUUAUUUAAGUGACUUUUAAAAAUCUGUUUAACAAAUGUAAGUAUGCUUUCCCAUUCACCCACAUACUUGAACUUCACUUGCAUAUUUUUUUCUAUGGAUACAUUCAUUAUGUCUAGAAAUACAAGCCCCUAACCACUGAUUAAAAAAACAUGCUGAGUUCACCAAAUUACCAGAAAAUGCCUAUAAAUAGACAAGAGUGUGUGCCUCCCACACACUGGACACCCUUGAACCUUGGUAAGACGCCCAGCCAGAUUCCUCAUUAUUUUACUUUAUGAAGAUGUUCUUUAACUAAACUAUUUCUUUUUUUUUUUUCAAAUUAUGAAUUAAUGAUUUAUUGCCUUGUUGGUUUCAAAGAUAAUCAAUUGUCGAUUAAGGCUAGAUCUUGGCCAGGUAGGUGACUUUUGAGGUCUCUCAUGGAAUGGCUUUUAAAAAUUAAUAGCUUUAAGGCAGCUGUAGACAUAGCCUUCUUAGGUCUUCCCAGCAGAGACAGAGGCUUCAAAUGCGGGGAGAUUAUGGCAGGAGAAGAGGUGGCUCCGUCUUCCUUGUGUCUGUGGCUGGGUGGGAGAUCCUGCUGGGCAGGGAGCCCGUGGUCGCAAACCUGCAGUUGACACUCUCCAGGCCACUCUCAGCAGAGAACAUAGGAUCUGGCACAUAGAAGGCACUCAAAGCAACUGAGCAUUCAAAGAUGAGUUCAUUUACCUCUAUGGUUUAAUCAAGGCAUGGCCAUGUCCUUUAAAAAUAAACAAAUCAAGCAUAUAGAUACAAUUUAACAAUCGCCUGAUUUGAGUCUUUUUUCUUUUUCUUUUUUUAUUAUACUUUAAGUUUUAGGGUACAUGUGCACAUUGUGCAGGUUAGUUACAUAUGUAUACAUGUGCCAUGCUGGUGCGCUGCACCCACUAACUCGUCAUCUAGCAUUAGGUAUAUCUCCCGAUGCUAUCCCUCCCCCCUCCCCCCACCCCACAACAGUCCCCAGAGUAUGAUAUUCCCCUUCCUGUGUCCAUGUGAUCUGAUUGUUCAAUUCCCACCUAUGAGUGAGAAUAUGCGGUGUUUGGUUUUUGUUCUUGCGAUAGUUUACUGAGAAUGAUGAUUUCCAAUUUCCUCCAUGUCCCUACAAAGGACAUGAACUCAUCCUUUUUUAUGGCUGCAUAGUAUUCCAUGGUGUAUAUGUGCCACAUUUUCUUAAUCCAGUCUAUCAUUGUUGGACAUUUGGGUUGGUUCCAAGUCUUUACUAUUGUGAGUAAUGCCGCAAUAAACAUAACGUGUGCAUGUGUCUUUAUAGCAGCAUGAUUUAUAGUCCUUUGGGUAUAUACCCAGUAAUGGGAUGGCUGGGUCAAAUGGUAUUUCCAGGUCUAGAUCCCUGAGGAAUCGCCACACUGACUUCCACAAUGGUGGAACUAGUUUACAGUCCCACCAACAGUGUAAAAGUCUUCCUAUUUCUCCACAUCCUCUCCAGCACCUGUUGUUUCCUGACUUUUUAAUGAUUGCCAUUCU